UGCAAGUCGAACGAAGUAGCAAUACUUAGUGGCAGACGGGUGAGUAACAUGUAGGUAUCUGCCCUUUGGCCUGGAAUAACACGAGGAAACUUGUGCUAAUACCGGAUAAGUCUUUACGGAGAAAGCUUUAUGCACCAUUGGAUGAGCCUGCACUUGAUUAGUUUGUUGGUAGGGUAAUGGCCUACCAAGACUGUGAUCAAUAGCUGAUUUGAGAGGAUGAUCAGCCACAUUGGGACUGAGACACGGCCCAAACUCCUACGGGAGGCAGCAGUGGGGAAUCUUGCACAAUGGAGGAAACUCUGAUGCAGCGAUGCCGCGUGAGUGAAGAAGGCCCUUGGGUUGUAAAGCUCUUUCGUCGGGGAAGAAAAUGACUGUACCCGAAUAAGAAGGUCCGGCUAACUUCGUGCCAGCAGCCGCGGUAAUACGAAGGGACCUAGCGUAGUUCGGAAUUACUGGGCUUAAAGAGUUCGUAGGUGGUUGAAAAAGUUGGUGGUGAAAUCCCAGAGCUUAACUCUGGAACUGCCAUCAAAACUUUUCAGCUAGAGUUUGAUAGAGGAAAGCAGAAUUUCUAGUGUAGAGGUGAAAUUCGUAGAUAUUAGAAAGAAUACCAAUUGCGAAGGCAGCAUUCUGGAUCAUUACUGACACUGAGGAACGAAAGCAUGGGUAGCGAAGAGGAUUAGAUACCCUCGUAGUCCAUGCCGUAAACGAUGUGUGUUAGACGUUGGAAAUUUAUUUUCAGUGUCGCAGCGAAAGCGAUAAACACACCGCCUGGGGAGUACGACCGCAAGGUUAAAACUCAAAUGAAUUGACGGGGACCCGCACAAGUAGUGGAGCAUGUGGUUUAAUUCGAAGAUACGCGCAGAACCUUACCAACACUUGACAUGUUCGUCGCGACUUUAAGAGAUUAAAGUUUUCGGUUCGGCCGGACGAAACACAGGUGCUGCAUGGCUGUCGUCAGCUCGUGUCGUGAGAUGUUGGGUUAAGUCCCGCAACGAGC
RNAcentral lists this ribosomal RNA (997 nucleotides) under uncultured bacterium. Its description in RNAcentral is "bacterial SSU rRNA". It matches the Rfam family "Bacterial small subunit ribosomal RNA", at positions 56 to 1097 of the family's 1533-position model. The record is from RNAcentral.